Molecule: ribosomal RNA, 255 nt
Filed under: uncultured bacterium
Lineage: Bacteria
Description: partial 16S rRNA
Rfam family: Bacterial small subunit ribosomal RNA
Source: RNAcentral
GUGCCAGCAGUCGCGGUAAUACGGAGGAUUCGAGCGUUAUCCGGAUUUAUUGGGUUUAAAGGGUGCGUAGGCGGACCAAUAAGUCAGUGGUGAAAUACAUCAGCUUAACUGAUGCACUGCCAUUGAUACUGUUGGACUAGAAUAUAAAUGGUGCAGGCGGAAUGAAUCAUGUAGAGGAGAAAUUCAUAGAUAUGAUUCAGAAAACCGAUCGCGAAGGCAGCUUGAAAAGAUAUUAAUGACGCUGAUGCACGAAAG